UCUGGUUGAUCCUGCCAGUAGUCAUAUGCUUGUCUCAAAGAUUAAGCCAUGCAUGUCUAAGUAUAAGCAAUUUAUACAGUGAAACUGCGAAUGGCUCAUUAAAUCAGUUAUCGUUUAUUUGAUAGUUUCUUUACUACAUGGAAUACCUGUGGUAAUUCUAGAGCUAAUACAUGCUUAAAAUCCCAACUUACGAAGGGAUGUAUUUAUUAGAUAAAAAAUCAAUGUCUUCGGACUUCUGAUGAUUCAUAAUAACUUUUCGAAUCGCAUGGCUUUAUGCUGGCGAUGGUUCAUUCAAAUUUCUGCCCUAUCAACUUUUGAUGGUAGGAUAGUGGCCUACCAUGGUUUCAACGGGUAACGGGGAAUAAGGGUUCGAUUCCGGAGAGGGAGCCUGAGAAACGGCUACCACAUCCAAGGAAGGCAGCAGGCGCGCAAAUUACCCAAUCCUAAUUCAGGGAGGUAGUGACAAUAAAUAACGAUACAGGGCUUUAUGUCUUGUAAUUGGAAUGAGUACAAUUUAAAUACCUUAACGAGGAACAAUUGGAGGGCAAGUCUGGUGCCAGCAGCCGCGGUAAUUCCAGCUCCAAUAGCGUAUAUUAAAGUUGUUGCAGUUAAAAAGCUCGUAGUUGAACUUUGGGCUUGGAGAAUCGGUCCAACUUUGUUGUGUACUGUCUUCUCCAGGUCUUUCCUUCUGGUUCUCAUUUGGGGUUUACUCCAUUUGUUGAUCCAGGAUUUUUACUUUGAAAAAAUUAGAGUGUUCAAAGCAGGCGUUUUGCUCGAAUAUAUUAGCAUGGAAUAAUAGAAUAGGACGAUUGGUUCUAUUUUGUUGGUUUCUAGGACCAUCGUAAUGAUUAAUAGGGACGGUCGGGGGCAUCAGUAUUCAGUUGUCAGAGGUGAAAUUCUUGGAUUUACUGAAGACUAACUACUGCGAAAGCAUUUGUCAAGGACGUUUUCAUUAAUCAAGACGAAAGUUAGGGGAUCGAAGAUGAUCAGAUACCGUCGUAGUCUUAACC
RNAcentral lists this ribosomal RNA (1010 nucleotides) under Hanseniaspora uvarum DSM 2768. Its description in RNAcentral is "SSU rRNA". It matches the Rfam family "Eukaryotic small subunit ribosomal RNA", at positions 1 to 1031 of the family's 1831-position model. The record is from RNAcentral. Lineage: Eukaryota; Fungi; Ascomycota; Saccharomycetes; Saccharomycodales; Saccharomycodaceae.